UAAAUUGAGAGUUUGAUCCUGGCUCAGGACGAACGCUGGCGGCGUGCCUAACACAUGCAAGUCGAGCGAUGAAGCCCUUCGGGGCAGAUUAGCGGCGGACGGGUGAGUAACACGUGGGUAACCUGCCUCAUAGAGGGGGAUAGCCUCCCGAAAGGGAGAUUAAUACCGCAUAACAUAUUUUGGUUGCAUGACUGAAAUAUCAAAGGAGUAAUCCGCUAUGAGAUGGACCCGCGGCGCAUUAGCUAGUUGGUGAGGUAAGGGCUCACCAAGGCGACGAUGCGUAGCCGACCUGAGAU
Molecule: non-coding RNA, 296 nt
Filed under: Clostridium sp. BL8
Lineage: Bacteria; Bacillati; Bacillota; Clostridia; Eubacteriales; Clostridiaceae
Description: Bacterial small subunit ribosomal RNA
Rfam family: Bacterial small subunit ribosomal RNA
Source: Rfam by way of RNAcentral